Molecule: long non-coding RNA, 725 nt
Filed under: Ursus maritimus (polar bear)
Lineage: Eukaryota; Metazoa; Chordata; Mammalia; Carnivora; Ursidae
Description: lncRNA (ENSUMAG00000022066.1)
Source: RNAcentral
GCACUUUCCACUUUAUAAUCUUAUUUUUUGUUAAUCUCGUUUCCUUGUUCUAGUGAAAAAUUUUUUUAUAUUUUUCGUGCCUGACAUGGUGGGGGCGGUUCGAUAAGUAUUUGUUCAAAGAAAGUACAGCUAACUCUGCGAUGUGGGGUACUUAGAUGAGAAAACCGAGAUGCACUGAGGUUAAGUGACAAGACGAAGGUCCUCUAGCUAAUGACUCAGCUUAUUCUAUAGCCUCAAUCCCUUUCCCAACCACCAGACUGCCUUCUACUCUGAGCUGUCUAAGUCCUCUUCUUCUGUCCAUCAUGUCACUGGCUGAUGCGGAAGGGUUUGGGCUCGUCAUCAGAACUGGGAUAAAGGAUCCUAGCUGAGCCAUUCCUGAUGCUCCGAUUAAUGCACGCCUCAACAAACAUGCCACCAUCCAGAGGCCACCUGAAAGGAUGUUGAAACUGCAAGCACCACGAAUGACCUCUUUGGAGCUGGCAGCUACAACCCCUUGGGGCUCUUUGUCACAUUAUGGAGACAAAGACCAGUCUGGAAACAUUAUCCGCUGCGGACGCGAGCGAGCACGGAACGUGUCUGGUCUCAAGUGGUUUUUCAAAGAAGAAAUCUUGCACUAAAAUUUAGAAGGCCAUUUAUAUACUUCCAUACUGCAAUUCUCUAAUUUCAUCCCAGUUAAGCCUAUCAUGAAGGUAUAAUAUCAAUCCAGGCAACAGGAUAAGAAAUCU